UUAGUUGGUGGGGUAAAGGCCUACCAAGACUAUGAUGUGUAGACGGGCUGAGAGGUUGAACGGCCACAUUGGGACUGAGACACGGCCCAAACUCCUACGGGAGGCAGCAGUAGGGAAUUUUCGGCAAUGGAGGAAACUCUGACCGAGCAACGCCGCGUGAACGAUGAAGUAUUUCGGUACGUAAAGUUCUUUUAUUAGGGAAGAAUAAAUGAUGGAAAAAUCAUUCUGACGGUACCUAAUGAAUAAGCCCCGGCUAACUAUGUGCCAGCAGCCGCGGUAAUACAUAGGGGGCAAGCGUUAUCCGGAAUUAUUGGGCGUAAAGGGUGCGUAGGCGGUUAAAUAAGUUUAUGGUCUAAGUGCAAUGCUCAACAUUGUGAUGCUAUAAAAACUGUUUAGCUAGAGUAAGAUAGAGGCAAGUGGAAUUCCAUGUGUAGUGGUAAAAUGCGUAAAUAUAUGGAGGAACACCAGUAGCGAAGGCGGCUUGCUGGGUCUUUACUGACGCUGAGGCACGAAAGCGUGGGGAGCAAACAGGAUUAGAUACCCUGGUAGUCCACGCCGUAAACGAUGAGUACUAAACGUUGGGUAAAACCAGUGUUGAAGUUAACACAUUAAGUACUCCGCCUGAGUAGUACGUACGCAAGUAUGAAACUUAAAGGAAUUGACGGGACUCCGCACAAGCGGUGGAUCAUGUUGUUUAAUUCGAAGGUACCCGAAAAACCUCACCAGGUCUUGACAUGCUUCUGCAAAGCUGUAGAAACACAGUGGAGGUUAUCAGUUGCACAGGUGGUGCAUGGUUGUCGUCAGCUCGUGUCGUGAGAUGUUGGGUUAAGUCCCGCAACGAGCGCAACCCUUAUUGUUAGUUACCAGCACGUAAUGGUGGGGACUUUAGCAAGACUGCCAGUGAUAAAUUGGAGGAAGGUGGGGACGACGUCAAAUCAUCAUGCCCCUUAUGACCUGGGCUACAAACGUGAUACAAUGGCUGUUACAAAGGGUAGCUGAAGCGCAAGUUUUUGGCGAAUCUCAAAAAAA
This 1029-nucleotide ribosomal RNA is filed under the name Cassava witches'-broom aster yellows phytoplasma. Its description in RNAcentral is "bacterial SSU rRNA". It matches the Rfam family "Bacterial small subunit ribosomal RNA", at positions 245 to 1282 of the family's 1533-position model. Lineage: Bacteria; Bacillati; Mycoplasmatota; Mollicutes; Acholeplasmatales; Acholeplasmataceae. The record is from RNAcentral.